RNAcentral lists this unclassified non-coding RNA (427 nucleotides) under plant metagenome. RNAcentral's name for it is "partial contains 5.8S ribosomal RNA, internal transcribed spacer 2, and large subunit ribosomal RNA". It matches the Rfam family "Bacterial small subunit ribosomal RNA", at positions 358 to 777 of the family's 1533-position model. The record is from RNAcentral.
GGAAUCUUGCGCAAUGCGCGAAAGCGUGACGCAGCAACGCCGCGUGGGGGAAGAAGGCCUUCGGGUUGUAAACCCCUUUCAGGAGGGACGAAGCGUGGGCGGUUAAUAGCCGAUCCACGUGACGGUACCUCCAGAAGAAGCCCCGGCUAACUACGUGCCAGCAGCCGCGGUAAUACGUAGGGGGCAAGCGUUGUCCGGAAUCAUUGGGCGUAAAGCGCGUGUAGGCGGUCCGGUAAGUCGGCUGUGAAAGUCCAGGGCUCAACCCUGGGAUGCCGGUCGAUACUGCCGGACUAGAGUUCGGAAGAGGCGAGUGGAAUUCCCGGUGUAGCGGUGAAAUGCGCAGAUAUCGGGAGGAACACCAAUGGCGAAGGCAGCUCGCUGGGACGUUACUGACGCUGAGACGCGAAAGCGUGGGGAGCAAACAGGA